UACUGCACAGACAACAAAACAGAUAAACUAUUGGAUAAAUGAUGUCCGGCUUUUGUGUUUUAUAUUUGCUGUCAUUUUACUUUUUAUUUUAUUUAUGUGACUUUGACCUCUCUUCCUAGUUUGGGAUGAUUGCAAAUUCAUAUUCAAUACACACAGAGCCCUGUCUGAAUGGAAGUUUGGAACCACUUUCAAUUAUCUUUACAAGUGUCCUGUCAAUAAUGAAGAUGAGGACAUUAGUAACAUACGUAAUGUGAUACAGAAGGAAUUUUUGUCCCUUGUGGAUGCUGGUUUGGCUAUAAACUGCGCCUACCCUCUGAUGUUACAAGAAAAACGGAAAGUUGAUGUGAUCAUUUCAUUGGACUACAGCGAUGGGGAUAGUUUUAUGACAUUGAAUCAGGCUAAGGCUUAUGCUGAUGCAUACAAACUUCCUUUUCCCCAUGUGGACAAGAAAGGCCAAAAACCUCAGGACUGCAAUGUGUACAGUGAUGCCUCAGCUCCAACAGUGAUCCACAUGCCUCUGUUCAAUGACAGCAAUA
This is a long non-coding RNA of Erpetoichthys calabaricus (reedfish), 536 nucleotides long. RefSeq lists it as uncharacterized. The transcript is spliced from 3 exons. The record is from RefSeq and is a predicted model, not a curated record. Lineage: Eukaryota; Metazoa; Chordata; Cladistia; Polypteriformes; Polypteridae.